Long non-coding RNA from Beta vulgaris subsp. vulgaris (sugar beet), 1630 nucleotides. RefSeq lists it as uncharacterized. The transcript is spliced from 2 exons. The record is from RefSeq and is a predicted model, not a curated record. NCBI's taxonomy places the organism in Eukaryota, Viridiplantae, Streptophyta, Magnoliopsida, Caryophyllales, Amaranthaceae.
UUGUAUUUAUUAGUUUAACUAAGCUUUAUAUCAAAUAGAGAUUACUAAGAAUUAUUAUUUUAAAUACAAUUAUGAUGAUGUGGAUUUUUUUAUCAAAUUGGGAUAUUUAGUGAAUGAUUUUAAGCAUAAAAAAAAAAGAAAAAAAAAGAAAAAGAAAAAGAAAAAGAAGACCCAUUUCAUUGUUGUAUUUCGUGGCUUAAGGAGGACUAGACACAAAAGUGUUUACAUGUCAAUUUAUUAUAACCUCUUUGACAGAUUGAAACCCCAACUCCCUUCUUCCUUUAAGACCCAUUUCACCAUUCCUCUGUGUCUCUCAAGCUCACAUCUCCUCGUCGGCACCUCUGUUUUUUUUUCUCUUCGAAUUCCAUCCAUUUGCGAUCCAUCAAAGCUGUUGUGGGUUGUUCUUAAUUUCGUUUUCUCUCUCCACUAAUUUUCUUGGUGCUAAAGUUGCUGCCGAAUUAUUUGCUCAAAAUCGACAGCAUGCAGUUGGUUUUUGGAAAUAUAUGUUACAUGAAAGUUGUAGAUCUCUUCGAGAUAUUGAAUUUAGGCUCAAAAAUUUCUUAAAUCGGAGUUUGGAGCUAAGAGUUAUGCUCUCUGGAAGUUGUAGUUUUUGUUGCCACUGCUGCAACGUUCUUCCUUCUCCUCUUCUUCGCGGUGCUGCUGCCACUGUCGUGCUGCCGCCGCUAUUGGUGGUUGUUGUUGCUGCUGCUUUGUGUUGGUGUUAAUGACUUGAUUCCUUACUCCAUUUACUGCACUCUUGGCUAAAGGAAACCCCAAAUCAGUUUUUUUGCCACUCUUAUCAAGGGUAAUCUAUGUAAGCUAUGUAUUCUCUCUCUUUUAAUUUCAAAAUUAGUAUCAGUACACUUGUGUGAAUCUUCAAAUCAAAUUUUGCAUCUUGGGCAUAAUAUCAUAAUAGGACUUAAAUAGUUGUUUUAAUAUUGGAAGUAAAGAUUGAAACUUUCUUUGGUUAAAGUGAUUGGAAAUGGUUUUGGAGCUUAAAAUCUUUAGUAAGCUUGACGAAUUAAAUUUUACAAGUUCUGUUUCGUAUUUUGCAAAUCCAAAUCAUAAUUUCAUGUCUACAAAUCAGUGUAAUAAUUUCCAAAAUAAGGUUAAUUAGAGUUAGUAUGUGAGUUGGUUGGAGGAAUAGUUUGCAUAUAAGAUGUUGUGUUUAGUUCAUGGAAAAGUUAAUGAAUAUAGGAAAGUCAAUUUAUUUUUCUAAAUUGUAGUAAGAUUGGUGAUUAAUUAUCGGUAUUGCUUCUGAGGCAUCUUAUGUAUACAAUUUGUGGAGCUUGGAGAAUUAAAGGAGCUUAAGGGGGCUGAGUUAUUGGAUUGCAUUUUAAGAAAUUGGUUUGCAAUUGAGGUUUGUGUUGGGAGCUCAUAGUGGAUCGAAAGUAAAGAGUCGAUUAUUGAAUUGUAGAUAUCCUAGUGAUUCAAAGGUUGUAUUUGGAAGUAUUCAAGCUCUUAGUGAAGAAUUUAAUAUUCUAUUGUUUUGGGAAUAAAGUAAAUUGUAAUCUGUUAUUGGUUGUGAAGAUUAUUAUGUUGUGGGCCCAUAACCCACAGGUCCCAGGAUCGUGUUGAGGUUUAUAUUUCCGCUGCAAGUAAUUAUUAAUUCGAGGUUAUUAAGUAUUAA